UUAGCAUUUUUUAGAAAUAAUUUUUUUUUAAAAAUAAGGUAUGUGAAAAUGGUUUUUAGACGUAAUGCUAUUACAAGCUUAACAUAACUGAAGUUAUGUUUAUACUAUAUAAAGUAUAGUAUAAACGUAAGUUCUGUAUGUACUGGGAAGCCAAAAAGUUCAUGUGACUUGCUUUAUUGCAACAUCUGUUUUAUCGUGGUGGUCUAGCACUGUAUCUGCUAUAUCUCAGAUGAGCUCGAUAAAGGACAGAAAUGGUAUGGACCUAACAGAAGCAGAAGAUAUUAAGAAGAGAUGGCAAGAAUACACAGAAGAACUGUACAAAAAAAGAUCUUGACGACCCAGAUAAUCAUGAUGGUGUGAUCAGUGACCUAGAGCCAGACAUCCCGGAAUGUGAAGUCAAGUGGGCCUUAGAAAGCAUCACUACGAACAAAGCUAGUGGAGGUGAUGGAAUUCCAGUGGAGCUCUUUCAAAUCCUGAAAGAUGAUGCUGUGAAAGUGCUGCACUCAAUAUGCCAGCAAAUUUAGAAAACUCAGCAGUGGCCACAGGACUGGAAAAGGUCAGUUUUCAUUCCAAUCCCAAAGAAAGGCAAUGCCAAAGAAUGCUCAAACUACCGCACAAUUGCACUCAUCUCACAUGCUAGUAAAGUAAUGCUCAAAAUUCUCCAAGCCAGGCUUCAGCAAUAUGUGAACCGUGAACUUCCUGAUGUUCAAGCUGGUUUUAGAAAAGGCAGAGGAACCAGAGAUCAAAUUGCCAACAUCCGCUGGAUCAUGGAAAAAGCAAGAGAGUUCCAGAAAAACAUCUAUUUCUGCUUUAUUGACUAUGCCGAAGCCUUUGACUGUGUGGAUCACAAUAAACUGUGGAAAAUUCUGAAAGAGAUGGGAAUACCAGACCACCUGAUCUGCCUCUUAAAAAAACUGUAUGCAGGUCAGGAAGCAACAGUUAGAACUGGACAUGGAACAACAGACUGGUUCCAAAUAGGAAAAGGAGUACGUCAAGGCUGUAUAUUGUCACCCUGCUGUCACAUGUCACCCUGUCACGUGAUUCACUGAGACUCACGUCCAUCGAGUCAGUGAUGCCAUCCAGCCAUCUCAUCCUCUGUCAUCCCCUUCUCCUCCUGCCCCCAAUCCCUCCCAGCAUCAGAGUCUUUUCCAAUGAGUCAACUCUUCACAUGAGGUGGCCAAAGUACUGGAGUUUCAGCUUUAGCAUCAUUCCUUCCAAAGAAAUCCCAGUAAAGACUUUUAAAAAAUGAUCCACAUUCAAAAAAUCUAAAAAAAUUAGAAGCUAAAAUAUGAAGAAAUUCUAUGAGGACUAUCUGACUCUAUAAGGAAGGGAAACAUAAGGAUAAUGGGUAUCCCAGAAUGAAAAGAGGGGAAGAAGGAAGCAGAGAGUUUAUUUAAAGAAACAGUAACUGAGAACUUUCCAAAUUUGGGGAAGAAACAUAUACAAGUCUAUGAAGCUAAGAGAACGUCCAAUUACCUCAACCCAAAAAAAACUGUCUCCAAAACACAUUAUAGUAAAAUUAUCAAAAGUUGAUGACAAAUAAAGAAUUUUGAAGGCAGACAGGGAAUAAAAACAGUAACCUACAAGGAAACCACAAUAGACAAUCAGCAGAUUUUCAGCAGAAACUCUACAAGGCCAGGAAACAAUGGAACCACAUACUUAAAAUACUGAAAGACAAUACUGAAAAUUAUCUUACAUACUUAAAAUACUUGACAUACUUAGAAUACUGAAACUGUCUGCCAAGAAUACUCUAUCCAGCAAAGUUAUCAUUCAUAUAUAAAGGAGAAAUAUCCUUUUUUUUUUUUUUU
This is a long non-coding RNA of Bos taurus (domestic cattle), 1808 nucleotides long. The record is from Ensembl. NCBI's taxonomy places the organism in Eukaryota, Metazoa, Chordata, Mammalia, Artiodactyla, Bovidae.